CAGGCUGCCAUGUUGGAGACACCCACAGAGCCAGGAACUGAGAGUGGGCUCUGGGCAACAGCCUGCAAGGAACUUGAGGAUGCUAACAACCACAUGAACUUAGAAGUGCAGCCUUCCCCAGUCAAACCUUGAGAUGCCUACAGACCCUUGACCCCUUGCAUACAGCCUGUGAGAGACCCUGAAACAGAGGACCCAGGAACCUGUGACUCUCGUUGUCUCCAGGAUUUCACCAUAAAUGGAAGAAAAUGAAAAAUUCACACUCAUGUCUGACAACGGGAGACCUCUAGAGGAGAGAGCUCAGCCCACGGGAAUGGGUCACACAUUGUGAAUUAUCAGGCAUGACUGAAGGGAAGACUGGCCCUGAGCUAACAUCCAUGCCCAUCUUCCUCUACUUUAUAUGUGGGACACCUACCACAGCAUGGCUUUUGCCAAGUGGUGCCAUGUCCACACCCGGGAUCCGAACCGGUGAACCCC
RNAcentral lists this long non-coding RNA (474 nucleotides) under Equus asinus (donkey). RNAcentral's name for it is "lncRNA (ENSEASG00005026356.1)". The record is from RNAcentral. Lineage: Eukaryota; Metazoa; Chordata; Mammalia; Perissodactyla; Equidae.